GCUGGAACUACUCAGGCACCCGCCACCAUGCCCGGCUAAUUGUUUGUAUUUUUAGUAGAGACAGGGUUUCACUGUGUUAUCCAGGAUGGUCUUGAUCUCUUGACCUCAUGAUCCACCCGCCUCGGCCUCCCAAAGUGCUGGGAUUACAGGCGUGAGCCACCGCACCCAGCCGGAAACUGAAUAGGUAUUACAAGGAAGGAACAGUCUCUGUUUUCCUGAACUUCCUCCCGUUCAAGUUAAACUGGAGAAGAUCAUGCCAGGAGAAAAAUAAGAAAAACAUGCUCUCUCUUCUCUAAUGAUUGGACAGACUCCUACUCCAAAACAGAAGAUCUCAACUCUGGAAGGGAGGAGAAACAAGACCCCCAGGACUUGUCAAUGGCACACAUGAAAGACAGAAAACACCAGAAGCCAGUCUUCAGCCUGCUGGCCCAGCCAUGGCCACUGUAACGUACGGCUAAACCCCUGCCCCGAUCAGCUCUCAAGGCUCUGAGCCAACUGCCUAGACCGUCUAUUUGAGAUCCCUGAGAGUUUCAACACAGGGCAUGGCUGACCUCUCCACCGUGUCAUUUCCAGUAAUGCGGCCUCACUGAUAGCAGAAGUUCGGAGAGCUCUUGUCAGAGAGGCCAGCUGGCACCAUGUGAGUCUUACCCAGAGGGAAACCUGACAAUCUUCCAGCAUGCUCACCAGACUGGGGCACUGACUUUUGUCACUUGAUUCUCAACUCACAGUCUCAAGAUGCUGGUGCUAAUGUACAUUGCAGCUGACACUGGAGUUUAUUUUUAUAACUGCUCUUGCCUCAGAAAAAGCUCCAUCCCAGUACGACUUCCAGGACAGGGAUGGUCUGGAUGCUGCAGUUAGGACAAUGAUCAUCUCGUUCUCUUAGUGGUUAGGAAUCCUGUGGGCUUAUGGAAUAAGCUCGCUGAAACAGACAGUGACAUCCACGGUGACACUGACCGAAUUGUGCUCCAGUGGCCUAGAGAGUGCCUAUUAUUUAUCUCAUUUCUGUUCUGCAUAAUAACACCAACCAAACCGCUAAUGAAUGAAUAUUAUUACAUGCUUUGGUAGGAACGCAAAGGCAAAUUGGGCUCACUGUAGAGAAUAUCUUGCUCCUCAUUUUGUAUUAAAAUGCCUAGACGCCCCUCAAGAGACCAUGUCAAGGAUGAAAUUUAUCCACUGCCUGCAUUUGCUAAUUUGAAAGAGUUCUGAUUUCAUCUGCCGGGCUUAAUAUAGAAAUUCUUUUAACCUGAACAGAUACACAGAAAUGUGGAAUUUAUUCAAUGCCAUUUUCUUGAUUUAUGUCAGGAAAUAUAUAUGGCUAUGCUGUCAUCUUUUUAUAUAUAGACAUCAAUAUAUAUAAAUAUAUAGAGUCAAGUCAGAAAUUCUGAAACCACAUUGCACUUAGCCCUUACAGCAUAAUGCUUUCCAUAUUCUUCACAGUUUGUUUCCCUGAUCCUUUAGAGAGAGCUACUGUGUUUAAAGUGUAAACCAUUUUUACAGAAAAAAUGUAUUACAAUUCUAUAUGAUAAUUCUCAAAGUUCAGGAAAAUAAUCUGAAAUAAACAUUCUAAAUUGAGGAAUGAAUAAUAAAGACUCAUCAAUUGGGCUGGGAGCAGUGGCUCACGCCUGUAAUCUCAGUACUUUGGGAGACCGAGGCAGGCGGAUCACCUGAGGUCAGCCUGGCCAACCUGGUGAAACCCCGUCUCUACCAAAAAAAUACAAAAACUAGCUGGGCAUGGUGGCACAUGCCUGUAAUCCCAGCUACUCUGAAGGCUGAGGCAGGAGAAUUGCUUGAACCUGGGAGGCAAAGGUUCCAGUGAGCUGAGAUCGCCCUAUUGCACUCCAGCCUAGCUGUCUCAAAAAAAA
This 1862-nucleotide long non-coding RNA is filed under the name Homo sapiens (human). RNAcentral describes it as "long non-coding RNA NONHSAT202166.1". Lineage: Eukaryota; Metazoa; Chordata; Mammalia; Primates; Hominidae. The record is from RNAcentral.